Molecule: unclassified non-coding RNA, 307 nt
Filed under: plant metagenome
Description: partial contains 5.8S ribosomal RNA, internal transcribed spacer 2, and large subunit ribosomal RNA
Rfam family: 5.8S ribosomal RNA (bases 1-105)
Source: RNAcentral
GAAAUGCGAUAAGUAGUGUGAAUUGCAGAAUUUAGCGAAUCAUCGAAUCUUUGAACGCACAUUGCGCCCCUUGGUAUUCUAUGGGACAUGCCUGUUCGAGCGUCAUUUCAACCCUCAAGCACUGCUUGGUGUUGGGCGUUUGUCCCGCCUACGCGCGUGGACUCGCCUCAAAGUCAUUGGCAGCUGUUCCCCUUCGGCUCGUAAGCGCAGCACAGUCGGCGCCCGGAGCUCUGGUGGGAUGGCGUCCAGCAAGCUAUAUUUUCAGGCUUGACCUCGGAUCAGGUAGGGAUACCCGCUGAACUUAAGC